GCCUAUGGCCAUACCAUCCAGAAAAUGCCUGAUCUUGUCUGAUUUCAGAAGCUAAGCAGGGUCGGGCUCAGUUAGUAUAUGGAUGGGAGACUGCCUGGGCAUACCUAAUGUUGUAGACA
Callipepla squamata (scaled quail) is the source of this 119-nucleotide ribosomal RNA. NCBI's taxonomy places the organism in Eukaryota, Metazoa, Chordata, Aves, Galliformes, Odontophoridae. The record is from Rfam.